GUGAGAGAUCAGCCAAAGAGAAUUUAUCCCCUGCCGGAAACUGACUCUCUCCAAGCCUUUUCUCGUAAACAUAGAGCACUUUUCCCAGCUUCUCCUCGUUCUGCUUGAUAAAGCCUUGUUCUUGCGGGAUCUUCAUUCUGGGAGCAAAUGCAAGCUGAAAAACCAAAGCUCCGCUUGAUGGGUUAAAGCUCUGGCCCUCAGCUUCUAGCCACUAUCUAUUGAUGCUUUUGCCAGUGG
RNAcentral lists this unclassified non-coding RNA (237 nucleotides) under Hevea brasiliensis (rubber tree). The record is from RNAcentral. Lineage: Eukaryota; Viridiplantae; Streptophyta; Magnoliopsida; Malpighiales; Euphorbiaceae.